Molecule: small nuclear RNA, 108 nt
Organism: Camelus dromedarius (Arabian camel)
Lineage: Eukaryota; Metazoa; Chordata; Mammalia; Artiodactyla; Camelidae
Source: Ensembl
GUGUUCACUUUGGCAGCAUGUACACUAGAAAUGGAACUAUAUAAAGAAGAUUAGCAUUACCCCAUGUGCAAAGAUGACACACAAAUUUGAGAAGCAUUCCAUAUUUUU